RNAcentral lists this long non-coding RNA (290 nucleotides) under Phoenix dactylifera (date palm). RNAcentral's name for it is "long non-coding RNA (PDAC_LNC006372)". Lineage: Eukaryota; Viridiplantae; Streptophyta; Magnoliopsida; Arecales; Arecaceae. The record is from RNAcentral.
UGUAGCCACCCUUGAUCCAAACAGGCCUAGGAGAAAUGAGCAAACAGUUGCUAGGCAAGGUACUUAUAUGAUAACUCCUUGUAAUUUCUCCAUAUGUGAUAAAUUGACCUGGGUAUUGGAUACCGGAAGUUCUUAUAAUAUUUGCAAUCCAUUACAGGGACUGCAGGUCAAUAAGAGAUUUGAGGAUAAUGAGAGGUUCCUGAAUGUUGGAGAUGGAAGGACUGUUCCAGUUCUAGCAUUGGGAGAUCUUAAGUUAGUUUUCAAUUCUCAUGUAAUCGCCUUAAGUGACU